This 1376-nucleotide ribosomal RNA is filed under the name uncultured bacterium. Its description in RNAcentral is "bacterial SSU rRNA". It matches the Rfam family "Bacterial small subunit ribosomal RNA". The record is from RNAcentral.
AGAGUUUGAUCCUGGCUCAGGAUAAACGCUGGCGGCGCACAUAAGACAUGCAAGUCGAACGAACUUAACCAUUAGUUUACUAUUGGAGCGGUUAGUGGCGGACUGGUGAGUAACACGUAAGCAACCUGCCUAUCAGAGGGGAACAACAGUUAGAAAUGACUGCUAAUACCGCAUAUGCCUUGAGUAUCACAUGGUACAAAAGGGAAAGGAGCAAUCCGCUGAUAGAUGGGCUUGCGUCUGAUUAGAUAGUUGGUGAGGUAACGGCCCACCAAGUCGACGAUCAGUAGCCGGACUGAGAGGUUGAACGGCCACAUUGGGACUGAGAUACGGCCCAGACUCCUACGGGAGGCAGCAGUCGGGAAUAUUGCGCAAUGGAGGAAACUCUGACGCAGUGACGCCGCGUGCAGGAAGAAGGUUUUCGGAUUGUAAACUGCUUUAGACAGGGAAGAAACAAGACAGUACCUGUAGAAUAAGCUCCGGCUAACUACGUGCCAGCAGCCGCGGUAAUACGUAGGUGGCAAGCGUUGUCCGGAAUUACUGGGUGUAAAGGGAGCGCAGGCGGACCGGCAAGUUGGAAGUGAAAUCUAUGGGCUCAACCCAUAAAUUGCUUUCAAAACUGCUGGCCUUGAGUAGUGCAGAGGUAGGUGGAAUUCCCGGUGUAGCGGUGGAAUGCGUAGAUAUCGGGAGGAACACCAGUGGCGAAGGCGACCUACUGGGCACCAACUGACGCUGAGGCUCGAAAGCAUGGGUAGCAAACAGGAUUAGAUACCCUGGUAGUCCAUGCCGUAAACGAUGAUUACUAGGUGUUGGAGGAUUGACCCCUUCAGUGCCGCAGUUAACACAAUAAGUAAUCCACCUGGGGAGUACGACCGCAAGGUUGAAACUCAAAGGAAUUGACGGGGGCCCGCACAAGCAGUGGAGUAUGUGGUUUAAUUCGAAGCAACGCGAAGAACCUUACCAGGUCUUGACAUCCGAUGCAUAGUGCAGAGAUGCAUGAAGUCCUUCGGGACAUCGAGACAGGUGGUGCAUGGUUGUCGUCAGCUCGUGCCGUGAGAUGUUGGGUUAAGUCCCGCAACGAGCGCAACCCUUAUUGCCAGUUACUACGCAAGAGGACUCUGGCGAGACUGCCGUUGACAAAACGGAGGAAGGUGGGGAUGACGUCAAAUCAUCAUGCCCUUUAUGACCUGGGCUACACACGUACUACAAUGGCGUUUAACAAAGAGAAGCAAGACCGCGAGGUGGAGCAAAACUCAAAAACAACGUCUCAGUUCAGAUUGCAGGCUGCAACUCGCCUGCAUGAAGUCGGAAUUGCUAGUAAUCGCGGAUCAGCAUGCCGCGGUGAAUACGUUCCCGGGCCGUGCACACACCGCCCGUCA